Molecule: non-coding RNA, 23 nt
Filed under: Arabidopsis thaliana (thale cress)
Lineage: Eukaryota; Viridiplantae; Streptophyta; Magnoliopsida; Brassicales; Brassicaceae
Source: RNAcentral
GACGACGGUACUCGAUUUCGCCA